AAAGGACUUGAGUUUUGGGGAAGCAAUAAGAAUUCUUGAAAGCAUUCACUCAAAUUUCUCUCCCUCUUGCGUUCUUACUCUCUGUGGAUAGUGGAUAACUUUCGGGAUACAUCCGUACCUAUGGUUUCGUGAGAUUUUCAUCUCCGUGUAGCCAUAGGGAAAUGUAUUCCCUUGAACUGAACUCAAUUCAAAUGAGCCUAUAAUGGGUGAGGAUCGAGGAAUCUGCUGGUUCGGGUACCUCAAACUUUAGAAACAAACCACAUAUAGAAAAACCGUAUCGAUUCACGGUCAGUUUCUAAGUUAGAAAGUUUUAUUAUGGAGAACGGAUUCUUGAUAGAAUGGAGGGCAACGCUAACGUCCAUAAAUGGUCAAAGGAAACGCUGAAGGAUACACAUUAGAAUUAUGGGGUUACACUCGCAUCAGCAUGGCGCAAAAUAAUCUCCAGGAGUUAAAGGAAAUAUGGGAUCAAUGGAGUAAUAAAGCCAAAUAGUUGUUCUACAAUAACUAAGGGGACUUGCAGUAUUUGCUUGAUAGGAGGAUAGAUGAGCAAUUCAAAGUGAGUUUGGGAGUAUUAAUGGACACUUCUACCAUUAUAGCAUUUCUCUUUCAUAUGAAGAUGGUUGCCAUGUGGAUGGUAAGGGUAUUGGAAGGAAAGUGAUUGAUAGAGUGCAUGAGGCCUACAAAAAUGAGUUGGAUGGAAAGAAUUUUGCCUAUAAUGGUAAAAAGCUCGUUUACUAUAGGACCGCUACCAAACAACAAGAAUGAGUUUACUAUGUUGCACUUAUCAGAGACAAUGGAAAUGCAAGCCCUGAUGGUCUGUCAAAAUGGGCACAAAACAAUGAGAUUAAAGAAGACCAUAUCAUUUAAAGACCUUUAAAGUAGAGAUUAGCUAUGCUACAAGGAUACCCAUACAAGCAAUGCUCUGCGAGAGCAGAAAUCUGAAAACUCUCAAGAAGCAUUGAGGAUAUAGGAUAUCAUUUUAGGGCAGCAUACUGCGGAACAGUGAUGCCUGCUUGUUCACCAUUUUCUCUCUCAAGAUAAUCAGAAUAAUUUCACAAGUAUCAGAGGAGGUGUCCCUAGCUGCACGGAUUACCCCACAAGUGAGGUCGUAGCUCAAACUUAGGAGGUAGCUGAUUAUUUACAGACAUUGGCGGUACAGGCUGACAUAUUGAGCACCAAUAUGAGAUACAAUCAGAUCGUGGCUAAGAGUUUGUUUUAAAACUUUGGGCAUUAGGGCAAAAGCGUAUUUGUAAUCCACUUAUAUGUAAAGAUAUUCUUUUUCUAAAUAAAGUUUUAUUAAUGAGAUUGAAUCGA
Molecule: long non-coding RNA, 1314 nt
Organism: Gossypium arboreum
Lineage: Eukaryota; Viridiplantae; Streptophyta; Magnoliopsida; Malvales; Malvaceae
Exons: 3
Source: RefSeq, a predicted model, not a curated record